Molecule: long non-coding RNA, 15329 nt
Filed under: Nicotiana benthamiana
Lineage: Eukaryota; Viridiplantae; Streptophyta; Magnoliopsida; Solanales; Solanaceae
Description: long non-coding RNA (NBEN_LNC030138)
Source: RNAcentral
UGAAAGAAGCAUGUCAUCAAGGCAUAUGUACAUAUACAUGCAGAAUAUAGUGGACGAGCCGGCAAGGCUACUAUAGACAACUAUACAUCAAAAACUGAAAGCCAACAAGGCCACAUACAACCCAACUAGACAUACUGUCUACAGACCUCUAACAGGAAAAUAACUGUACAAAGACGGUACUGAGCAACGUCGUACCCGUAUACAUAUAUAUGUACAAACAUAUCGUACCAAUAUCAAAAGCAGCUCCGGAUCAAAUGGAGCACGCAAACUCUCGCUAAAUCAGGGGGCCGUCAACUUGUCUACCUGCACCUGCGGGUAUGAUACGUAGCAUCCACAAGUAAAAGGGACGUCAUUACAAAAAAUGAACUGAGUAUGUAAGGCACAUAAAUAAAUACAUAAGAGAUAUGGAAGACAUAUAGAGUACAUGACUCAAUCUGUAAUUCUGAAUCACUCGGUAAAUCAUAAAUUACUUUUAGCGUCAUGCGUAUGCGUAUGAAUGUCAUGUCGUGCAUAGGUAGAUGUUUCAUAAUAUCAUCAGCCUCUGAGGGGUAUUCCAUCAUAUCAUAUCGGCCACUGCGGGCAAAAUCAUCAUCGUAUACCAGCUGAUCAGGCGGUAAUGCGUAUAUAAUGCCAUAACCUUUCCCAUAUCCCAUACACACACACACUUACACACACACACACACGUAUAUAUAUAUAUAUAUNNNNNNNNNNNNNNNNNNNNNNNNNNNNNNNNNNNNNNNNNNNNNNNNNNNNNNNNNUAUAUAUAUAUAUACAUACAUACAUACAUACGCAUAUGUAACACCGUUUGAUUCAUAUUUCAGUCACUGUGGGCAACAUCAUCAUCAUAUUCCAGCUGAUCAGGUAGUGGUGCGUAUAUAAUGCCGUAACCUUUUUUCAUAUUCCAUAUACAUAUAUUUACAUGUAUACGCGUAUAUAACGCCAUAUGGUCAUGGGUCAAUGCACAUGUAUAAAUGAGUAAAAUGCAUGAAAAAUACAUAGUAAUCUCGAUAUUCCUUCCGGAUAAUAUUUUCCAACUGCAUAUUAUUCUGAGACCCAUGAAUAGAAGAUAAUAAUAAUUCUCAUGGGGAAUUAAGAAUAUAGACACCCCUAAUAUUUCUAUGAAUAGAAUAAUUUAUAAAAACCGUAUAUUUGCGUGUUUCUUUCGUAUAAUCUGGACCAUGCCAAAAGAAAGAAGGGAGGACUGGUAUGUUCCUGUGAAAUUCUUGAACAGAACUUAUAUUUGGAUUUGAAAUUGGAACGAGUUCUUGACAGAAUAAUAUGUAAUCAGAAGAAGUUCUUGUAUUGGGAAAAAACUGAAGUUGAAUUAAAGAUGAUAUGGCAUGACACGUGGACUGGUCAAAUAGUCAAAGAGCAAUAAAUGAUUAAAAGGAACGGAAGAUAACAUGCAUAGGAGGACAAAAGAAAAUAGACACGAGAGGGAGUCUCAGAUACGAGUCUCGUAUCUAUUUUAGUCAUUUAAUACCAACGGAUAAAAAGGGGACUGAAGACAAGAAUCAGAUGACAAAAAGUAGUAUAUUUUCAUUAUUAAAUACUUGACGUUAGUUAAUCAGUAUUUUAUACCAAUGAUUGUGUAACGUCUCAUUAAAUGCUCUUUAUUAUUUAGACCAAGCCUUUUCUCCUAGACAACUAUAAAAGGAGGAUGUUUCAUUAUUUGUAAACACACAGAACAUUCUUGACAUCAUACUGAAAUACUAAAUUGUUAUCGCUUUAUUUUUAUUCUUUGAAAGCCUAUUGGUCUCCAGAUUAUUAGUAACCCGAUUUCUUUUCUCUAAAUUCAAGCUUUGACCAAAUUAUAUUUUACUUUUUUUGGUUAAACAAAUUAGUUCCGUUACCGAGAAUCUGUUAAUCCAUUCUUUCUGAAAUAACAUUCAACCAAUUGCUAGUAUGUCAAACAACAACUACAACAAUAACCAGGAAAAUCAGAUCCAUCAAGGGGAUAAUGAUGAACUCAACAACGUUAACCCUCAAGCUUCUCCACGUGUAUCUCGUGAAGGAACUCCAAAUGAUAUGUCUGAACAUGUUGACGGAGGAGCUGAAAGAAGAGAUGAACUUUUAAAGAAAAUAAUCGACUCACGAAUUGACAAAGCCUUGCAAGCUUUAGUUAAUCGAUUGCCUGUUGCAACAGCAAUGCCAAACAACAACACGUUGGAAAACCCCUGCUCUGGUCUAGUUAAUUAUGGCAAUGGAGCAACUACCAGUGACUCGCAAGAAGGGGAACCAGGUAAUGAAUGUAAUUCUCAUCUUCAAAAUUUAGUACUAACCUUGGAGAAACAACUCAAGGAAUAGAAUGAGCGUAUCGAGCAAAUUCCUGAAGUUCCACCUGUGAUAAAAAGAGUGGAUAUGGAUAAAUACUCGCAACAACCUUGGAAACCAAGUGCUGCUCCCCUACCAAUUCCAAAGAAAUUCAAAAUGCCUGACAUCGCAAAAUAUGAUGGUACAACGGAUCCUCGUGAUCAUGUAACUGCAUUUACAACAGGAGUGAAAGGUAGUGAUUUGACUAAACAAGAAAUUGAAUCAGUGCUAGUCAAAAAAUUUGGGGAGACAUUCACCAAGGGUGCAUUAAUCUGGUAUUCUCUUUUACCUGAAAAUUCUAUAAAUUCUUUUGCUGAGCUUCCAGAUUCUUUUAUUAAAGCGCACUCGGGAGCUCAGAAGGUUGAAAAAAGAAUGGAGGAUAUCUUCAAAAUCAAGCAAGAGAACUCUGAAUUGGUCAGAGAUUUCAUUGAUAGAUUUCAACGUGAAAGAAUGACGUUGCCCCGUGUAUCGGAUGAUUGGGCAGCGAUAGCUUUUGCAAGUAAUUUGAAUGACAAAAGUUCAGAAGCCACGAGAAAGCUUAAAGAAAGCCUUCGUGAAUUUCCCGCAACUACUUGGAAUGAUGUUUAUAACAGGUAUAGUACGAAGCUCAGAAUUGAGGAAGAUACCGUAAUUCAAUCUCAUCAUGAAAAAAGGAGCGGGUCUAGAAUAUCUGAAGCCGAAAAAAGGUCAGGUAAGAACAAGUACGAUCCAUAUAUGGGACCUACAGGAAAGGACCCACGAUCUAGACAGAACAAUCAACAUUAUGAUCAUAGGUCAAGAGAUAGGGGAACUGGAUCUUCAUCCAGGUUCAAAGGCGAUCGAAACAACCAAGAGCCACGAGAUGAUGAUAGGAAUUUAAUGGCACGAUUUGCUGGUCAUAGUUUUAAUGUAACUAAUUUCGAGCUCGUAGCUAUUCUAAGGAGUAUGGGCGAUAAGCUACAGUGGCCAAAAGUGAUGCGAUCGAAUCUAAACAGACGUAAUCCAGACCAAUGGUGCGAAUUUCACAACGACCACGGACAUAUAACAUCAUAAUGCAGAUUUCUACAAAGUGAAGUAGAUCAUCUAUUUAAGCAAGGAUACCUCAUGGAGCUGUUUAGUGAAAACGGAAAUCAACCCUAGAUGAAAAAUAGGCAUGAGCCACUGAAACCACCCUCACCUAAGAGAACAGUGAAUGUCAUCAGUAGAGGGGAAGAUACAUGCGGAGUAACAUACACGGCUUCAAACAAAGUUUCCAAAAUGACGAUCACACACGACAAGCGAUUACGGAAAACCUUAGAACAUGAGAGCAUAAACUUCGAUGAUGUAGAUACGGAAGGAGUGAUUACACCUCAUAACGACGCUCUGGUAAUAUCUUUAGUUAUACAUGACACUAAUGUAAAACGAGCUUUGAUUGAUCCAGGAAGUUCUGUAAAUAUCAUUCUACUAAGAGUACUGCGGGAAAUGCAAGCUGGAGAUAAAAUGAUACCUAAGGCGCAUGCUUUGUAAGGCUUCGACAAUUCAAGCGUGGUAACAAAAGGCGAGGUAACUCUAAUGACUUAUGCUGAAGGUGUUAUUAAAGAAACUAAAUUUCAGGUAGUUGAUAUGGAAAUGGCAUACAAUAUAAUUAUNNNNNNNNNNNNNNNNNNNNNNNNNNNNNNNNNNNNNNNNNNNNNNNNNNNNNGGAAAUGGCAUACAAUAUAAUUAUGGGGUGACCAUGGAUCUAUGAUAUGGAUGCUGUUCCGUCAACCUUACAUCAAGUUAUUAAAUUUUUAUCACCCUGGGGAAUAUGUUAAAUUCGAGGGGAUCAACAAACAGCCAAGAGCAUCAACGUAGUAACUGAUACGAGUACCGCGCGUAAAGAGAAAUAACAAUUACUGGAAACAGUUGAAGGUGUCAGCAACCAAACUUCAACUGAAAAAACGAAUUUAGAUUCAAGACCUGAUGUAUUUCAAGAACCUGAAGAAAAUGAGAACAUCAAAACGACAAUAGAGGAACUUGAGGUUGUGGUGUUAUUUGAACAAUGGCCAGAGAGAAGUUUACGUGGGGGACAAUACAGAUCCCAACAUGUGAGGUAUUUUAAUUGAACUUUUAAAAACUAACGUAGAUUGUUUUGCCUGGUCCCACGCUGAUAUGACAGGUAUUCCACCAGAUGUGAUGACUCAUAAACUUAAUGAAAACCCAUCUUUUACUCCAAUUAAGCAAAAGAAAAGAAAGCAAGGAGCUUUCAAAAAUCAAGUAAUCCAGGAUGAGGUCCAAAAGUUGUUGAAAAUCGGGUCAAUUUGCGAGGUAAAAACCCUGAUUGGUUAGCUAACACGGUGGCCGUACCAAAAAAGAACGGUAAGUGGCGAGUUUGUGUAUAUUAUUCUGAUUUAAAUAAAGCAUGUCCAAAAGAUUCAUUCCCUUUACCUCAUAUAGAUCAGUUGAUUGACGCAACAGCUAGUCAUGAACUUUUAAGGUUUUUAGAUGCAUAUUCGGGGUACAAUCAAAUUAAAACGGCCCCAGUAAUGAGGAAAAAACUUCUUUCAUCACUGACCGAGGGACUUACUGUUAUAAAGUAAUGCCCUUUGGUCUAAAGAAUGCAGGUGCAACCUAUCAAAGGUUAGUCACCAAAAUGUUUCAAGAAUAUUUGGGGAAAACUAUGGAGGUAUAUAUUGACUACAUGCUCUUCAAAACCUUACGUUCAAAUGUUUCAAGAACAUCUGGGGAAAACUAUGGAGGUAUAUACAGAUGACAUGCUCGUCAAAACCUUACGUUCUCAUGAUCAUAUCUCUCAUUUGACAAUUACAUUUGAAAUUUUACGGAAAUUCAAUAUGAACCUUAACCCUGAAAAAUGUGCAUUUGGAGUUGCUUCAGGUAAGUUUGUAGGUUUUAUUGUUUCUAACCAUGACAUUUAGGUAAAUCCUUCUAAGAUUAAAGCAAUUGAAGAAAUACCUGACAUCCUAACCAAUCAAAAGGAGGUUCAAAGAUUAACUGGAAGGAUAGCGGCCCUAGGGAGAUUUAUUUCUAAAUCUUCAGAAAAGUGCUUCAAAUUUUUCUCUGCGCUUAAAAAGCAAGAUCAUUUUGAGUGGAAUGAAGAUUGCCAACAAGCCCUUAAAAAGUGCUUCAAAUUUUUCUCUGCUCUUAAAAAGCAAGAUCAUUUCGAGGGAAAUGAAGAUUUCCGACAAGCCCUUAAAGAUUUGAAAGUUUAUUUGUCAAAUCUUCCUCUACUGGCAAAACCUAAGGAAGGUGAAAAACUGCUCAUUUAUUUAGCAGUUUCAGAAGUAGCAGUAAGUGCCGUCUUAGUCCGUGAGGUCCAAGGUAAGCAAUAUCCAAUUUAUUAUGUAAGUAAAACUCUAUUAGAUUCAGAGACAAGGUAUAUGCAACUAGAAAAGUUAGCAUUAGCUCUCAUCAUGGCAUCUAGAAAAUUACGGCCAUAUUUCCAAAGCCAUCCUAUUGUUGUUGUUACUGCUUUUCCAUUACAAAAUAUCUUGCAUAAACAUGAAUUAUUAGGAAGAUUAGAAAAAUGGGCUAUAGAACUAAGUGAAUACGAAAUAAUUUACCAAUCUCGAACUGCUAUUAAAUCCCAAGUACUUGCCGAUUUCGUAAUCGAUUUUAGUCAAGGCAUGCAACUAGAAGCAGAAAAAGAGUUACAAGUUUUUAAUGGUGUAAAUACACUUGGAUAUUAUUUACUGAUGGUUCAUAUAAUGUAAAGGGGGCAGGCUUAGGAAUUGUUCUUAUACCACCUACAUGUGAAGCAAUUAGACAAGCUAUAAAAUGUCACCCUGUAACUAAUAAUGAAGCAGAGUAUAAAGUUGUGCUUGCAGGUAGAGCUAGCAUUAGAACUUGGCAUCAUGCAAUUCAUAAUCAAUAGUGAUUCAUAGCUCGUAGUAAAUCAAAUACUGGGGACUUAUAUGGCCAGAGAAACUUGAAUACAAGAGUAUCAUGGAAAAUACAGGAACUGAUAAGACAGUUCCAAACUUGGAAAGUGAUACAAAUUCCAAGAGAAGAGAACUUGGAAGCGGAUGCUUUAGCCAAUCUCGCGUCUGAAGCAGAAAUAGCAAAAGAUUCAAAUGUAUCAAUCAUACAUCUAUUCCACUCCGUUCUUGACUCUGAUAAAAAUGAGGUAAACUUUAAUCAUUUAACUUGGGAUUNNNNNNNNNNNNNNNNNNNNNNNNNNNNNNNNNNNNNNNNNNNNNNNNNNNNNNNNNNNNNNNNNNNNNNNNNNNNNNNNNNNNNNNNNNNNNNNNNNNNNNNNNNNNNNNNNNNNNNNNNNNNNNNNNNCUCAUGCACUUAGAAAGAAAGCUGCUCGUUAUUGCCUAUAUCAAGGGAACCUUUAUCGAAAAAUGUUUGGUGGACCAUUAGCCAGGUGUCUCAGACCAUAUCAAACAGAAUAUGUGAUGAGAGAAAUACACGAGGGACAUUUUGGAAACCAUGCGGGAGGCAGAUCACUUGUAAAGACAUUGAUUAGAGUAGGAUAUUACUGGCGUAAAAUGGAGGAAGAAGCAAAUUAUUUCGUAUCUAAGUGUGACAAAUGUCAAAGAUAUAGCAAUAACAUGCAUAGACCAGCUUAGUUACUACAUCAUGUCAUAGCUCCAUGGCCCUUCAUGAAAUGGGGAAUGGAUAUUGUAGGACCAUUACCCCAGGCAAAAGGUUCCUACUCGUGCUUACUGAUUAUUUCACUAAAUGGGUAGAAGCAGGGGCGUUUAAACAGGUACGAUUUCUACUCGUGCUUACUGAUUACUUCAUUUAUGGGUAGAAGCAGGGGCGUUUAAAGAGGUACGAGAGAAAGAAGUUAAGGAUUUCAUUUGGAGAAAUAUAAUUUGCCGCUUUGGUGUGCCAAAGGAGAUCGUCAGUGAGAAUGGACCACAAUUUAUAGGAGCUCAAGUCAUAGAAUUCUUUCAAAGUUGGCAAAUCAAAAGAAUAACGUCGACACAGUAUCAUCCAGUAGGUAAUAGGCAAGCAGAGUCCACAAACAAAGUGAUUAUCAAUAACUUAAAUAAAAGGUUACAAGAAUCAAAAGGCAAUUGGCCUGAAGUAGUACUAGCGGUAUUAUGGGCAUAUCGAACGACGGCAAAGACAAGUACAAGAGAAACACCAUUUUCAAUGGUUUAUGGUGCGGAAGCUUUGAUACCAUUUGAGAUAGGUGAGCCUAGUACACGACGUGUUCAAGCAGAGGAAGACUCAAACAAUGAAGAGUUACGAGUAAAUCUUGAUCUACUUGAAGGGAGAAGAGAAGCCGCGUUGAUAAGGAUGGCAGCUCAAAAGCAAGAAAUUGAGCGAUAUUACAAUAAAAAGGCACACCUCAGGUUCUUUAAUAUUAGGGACUUCGUGUUAAAAAAAGUGUUCCAAUCUACAAAAAUAGCUAAUUCAUGAAAGCUAAGUCCAACGUGGGAAGGACCUUAUAGAGUUCGUGAAAUUGCUGGAAAAGGAGCAUACGAGCUGGAAACAAUGGAUGGCAAGGUUUUACCAUCACAUUGGAAUGCCUUUCAUUUAAAGAGGUAUUACUUCUAUGGAAGUACCCACGGUCAGGUAUCGCCACAUUAGAAUUUUUUCUUGAAUUGUUAAAAUUAAUUCAUUUAAAGAGGUAUUACUUCUAAGGAAGUACCCAAGGUCAGGUAUCGCCAUGUUAUAAUUUUUUCUUUGAAUUGUUAAAAUUAUACUAACGAUUUUAGAUGCUGGAAAAAAACCCUAAAUCGUGCCAAAUGAUGAGUCAUGGCCUGCACGGCAAAUUGGAAUACUAUUAAAUUCCUAGCCCAGGGUUACAUUAAUCUGAUGGAAAUACACACGAGUUAGGCAGUCUUCAUCUAUAAUCGCACCUCUGAGCCCCGUAUAUUUUUCUAUUUCAGGAAAAGGACCGAAAUUGAGAGCAAACACACAAGUGUUCAAGGCUUCAUACUUCACAGCUCAAACACUUGGGGGACUAUACUAUAUACACACGAGUUUGUGCAGAAGAAUAGAUGCAAGUGAGCAAGAUUUAAAAAGUAAUAUAAAGCCGUAAGAAGUCAAGUGUCGAGCAAAAAUCACCAAGUAAAAGAAAAAAGCAUUCAUCAUAGUGUUCUUUCCCAUGAGAAUAAUGGAGUCACCUCUCAAACCCUUCCUAGUAUGUAAAUAUAGGGUCGUGACUAUGUAUUAAAAUUUCCCAUGAGAACAAUGGAGUCACCUCUCAAACCCUUCCUAGUAUGUAAAUAUAAGGUCGUGACUAUGUAUUAAAACAGGCUAUGAAAAACCUUGUUUAUUUAUAAAUCUGUUAAAAGAAAACAGUUACGAGAAAGUUGUAGAUGUACUUCAAUACAUGUAAUUCUCAAAAGAACUUGUCAAAGUUCAUGAAUAAAGACUUGUCAAAACUUAUUUCAUACGAAACAUGUAUGUUCAUAUUUUCUUUCAUCGUAUUGUAACACCAUUAUGAAGUUGAGACGUCUUCUUCAUUAAGUGUCGAUAAAUAAAAGGGUCCUCUUUUAUUUUCCUCAUGAUGAUAAUACAUGAGAAGAAUCAUAAAAGCAUUUUCUAAAAAGAUAAAAAUGCUAACCUAUCCUCUAAGUCCAAAAAUGAAAAAUAGGCAAGAAUAGGGCAAAUAGAAAACUAUUAUAUAAAGUCUAGAACAAAGUAAAAAGACAAGAAUAAAGUAAAGAAGUAUUAGUCAAAAUUUCUUAGCAUAAAAGACUAAGGGAAAACUUAGUCAAUACAAUACAAAUGUUUUUUAAAAAAGUGCCCCGUUAUAGAAACUGGGGACUUUACUAAAAAGUUAAGAGAUUACAUCCUCAAAAACAAAAAAGAGGUAAGGUCAAAUACUUUCACUGGUCACUAAGGAAAUUGGAACAUUAGAAGUUGCAGCCUCAUUAGGCUCGGUAGUAACUUCUAAGGGAGCAGCAACAUAGGCAGUCUCAGCUGAACUUGAAGUAUUAACAUUCUCGAGGGAAGCAGUAGUCACAGGAAUUUCUAUUCCCACAGACUGCGUUAUAGAUAAAUCACCCUCGAUUGCUGGAAUCAUAAAGUUCAACUACUUCAGUAGCUGCCUCAAAGCUCGAAGGCUCUUCUACCUCGGGAGUUCUAACUGUUGGAGAGGAAAUGUCAAUUAGCUGGUCAGGAGAAGGAAUUUCAAUAGGUUGGUCAUUCUUCUAAAUCAUGUCUAAAACUUUGUCUAACUCAGAUUGUAAGUUAAAAUUUUCUUGAGAAGCCUCCAUCAAAGCAUCACGACAAGACUUCAAGAAAGCCUAGUUAACCUAUUAAAAUUAUCUGCAAGAGAAUUGUAAUCCUUCUCCAAGUUCUCAUAAUUCCUUCCCCACGUAGCAAGGGUGUUCUUCAUUAUUUCUUGGUCAGCUAGGUGGGAAUCAAGGGAAGUUUGAAGAUUGGCACUGGAACUCUCCAACGCAUGAACUUUAUCUGAGGAAAUCUUCAAGUCAGCCCGAGUCUGGUUCAAGCUCUGCACUAAUUCCUUAGAAUGUUCUUCUUUUUUCUCCAUUAGUGCUUUAAGUUCCUUGAUUUCUUCAUUAGCAUUUGAUAAAGAGUUCUUCAAAAUCUCUUUAUCCUUUUUUAGUUGGCUUGUGGAAGCCGUGGAAAUUCCUAGAUCUGAGGAUAAAGCCAGAUUCUGCUACUCCAGUUGAGAUUAAUAAGAUUGUAACUCCUCAAUGUUCCCUUGGGAACCUUCAAAUUGUUCCUUCCAAUUUUAAGUCUCAAGCUGCGCUUCUUCAGCUAUUCUCUUAGCAUCUGCAUCAGCCUUUGCAGACUCACGUGCUUUCUUCUCCAAAAUGGAGAUCCUCCCCAUUAACUCGGUUCCAAUCAUGUUGGCCUAUAAACAUAAGGCAGAGAAAUAAGAAUUUAAAAUCAACGAAAAGCUAAUAGCCAAUCCAAAAGAAGUUACCUUCAGUGUCGAAUGAACUAUGUCGUUCAUUAAGGUACAACAGCUAUGGCUCUUCAUCUUUGUCCUCUCCACAUCUCCAAUGAGAGGAUCGAGCCAAACAUCAGCUCCACCAUUCUUCCUAAAAAGGCUAUGAGUAGCAGGAACUUCAAGUGUGACCUCUCUCAUAGCCAUACCUCUGUUACUGGGGCCAGAUUCUAAAUGAGUAACAGAGGAAGGAGGGAUAGUGGAAGGAGGAGUAGUAGAAGAGGUAAAAAUAGCAGGAGCUACAGAAACCAAGGAAGGAGCUGAAGGAAUAGGCACGGGAGCAAAAGAAGGAGCGGGAGUAGGAGCAUUUAAAGUAGAUGAAGGAACAACAGAAGUCGGCAAAGGGGAAGAAACACUCACGAUCGAAGGAGGAAUAAAAGAAACAUAGGAGAUAGGAAUUGAAGUAGAUAAAGGAAUUUCAUUAAGAAGAGGUACGAGUUCCCCACUUUUAAAACCACUUACAAAGAGACGGUGAACAGAUUCACUCAUGUCUCUAGGUGUCAGAUCUUCAUCGGAGUGGAUUAGAACAGGCUCGGUAGUGGAAGUAUUAGCAGAAAAGGUAUGAGCAAGAGCAUCUUCAGUUUCUUCUUCAAUAAUAACGCGUCUCCUAACUCUUGGUCUAGAUACCAAUGAGGUAUUAUCUUCUUCCUCAUUCUCAGUUUCUACUACCAUAGCUUUCCUUUUAGCUAUCAGUGCUUUAGCCCUGUCCAAACCAAGGGUAGUGUUGGCAGUAGUACCCAUAGCUAAAGCAACAUCAACGGCCAUCCCUUUUAUUCCACAGCUUUUCUCUUAGCUAUUAACGCAUUAGCCUUGUCCAAGCUAAGGGAGGUAUUGGUAGUAGUACGCAUAGCUAAAGCAACGUCAGCUGCCAUCCCUUUUAUUCCAAAUCCUGACAAAAAGAAGGAUUUAAGUUUGUUAUCAGUAUUUAUUAUAUGUAUCUUGAAAACAUACACGAAAAGAGAUAUAUACCGUGUGUUUUCACUAUCCACCCAUGUAAGGAAGAAAUAGACUUCCAAGUUCUAUCUUCCUUAGAAGUACCAAUGAGGUAUUAUCUUCUUCCUCAUUCUCAGUAUCCACUACCACAGCUUUUCUCUUAGCUAUUAACGCAUUAGCCUUGUCCAAGCUAAGGGAGGUAUUGGUAGUAGUACGCAUAGCUAAAGCAACGUCAGCUGCCAUCCCUUUUAUUCCAAAUCCUGACAAAAAGAAGGAUUUAAUUUUGUUAUAAGGGUUUAUUAUAUGUAUCCAAAAAACAUAUACAAAAAGAGAUAUAUACAGUGUAUUUUCACUAUCCACCCAUGUAAGGAAGAAAUAGACUUCCAAGUUCUAUCUUCUUUAGGAGCAACCUUCAAAAUCGAAUCUACCCAACCACGGAAGUUGGGAAUAGGCUCCACAUCUCCCAUGGUUGCUACAAAAAACCAAAAAGGGUUAAAAUUAGAGAGAAAAUCAAAACCUCAGAAAAUAGGUACGGGGAAGUAAGCAGAAACUUACGUGCGAAGUUCCACUUCUCAAGGAAGGGAAUGUUUGAUUCACGUAGCAAAUCCAUAUGAACAACAAUAUAACGAAGAUACCACCCACGGUCUUUAUCAUCAUCGGCGUUUACUAAAACUUUCUUACUUCUUGCAGUUAAGGUAAAAUCUCUAUGGCGCAGUAGGCUGGGAUGGUAUAAAUGGAUGAGAUGGGAAAAUGUAUAAUUGAAUUUCAAUUUAGUAGACAAAAAUCUCAAACAAGCUACAACCCUCCAUACUAAAGGGCCAACUUGAGCCAAGCAAAUGUUGAAAAAUCGACGGAAAUUAAAGAUAACUGGAUCUAUGGCAGGUUUGAAUCCUAAAAUGAAGGGGUAGGUGUAAACAAAAGAAAAUCCCUGUAUAUAGGAUGAAAUUCUCUGACUUAUGGAAGGAACUGAUAAACGAACACCCUCUUUCAAAUUGCAGUCUUUUCUAAUAAUAGGGACUGUGAGUUCAUUAUAAGAGAGGGGUAACGGUCAGCCUUUUCCAAUUUCGCAAUUUUCUUUUGAAGAGAUGUUCUAUCACUCGCAAAAGACAAAUCAUUCGGUAUAAUUUUUUCAACUGUGGGUUCUAGAUAAGGGUCUGAAACUUCUUUACCUUACAAAGAGGGAGUUUUUGAAGAGGAACCUUUAACACUAGAACUUAAAGAAGAAGGAGCAGAACCAGUUAAACCUCCACGUGUAGAUCGCAAACUUCAAAGUCUUCCUCCUCUGCCUCUUGUAUGUUUGAUUGGAGCAGAUACAUUAGGAAAUUGAUCGAAACGUAGAAUAUUUUUGGGGUUAGGGUUUGGAGAUGCCAUUGGUAGAUAAGCUUGAAGUGAAGAGGAGUAAAAGAAGGAAAAGGUAUGAUUGAUGAAAAUCGAUGAAGAAGAUGACAAAGGAAGUGUGAAUUAAAAUGUUAUAUGGAAAUAACCAUCAAAAUUAAAAGCUGCAAUGAUGGAAACCAUAUAUUAAAGAUAACUAUCACUUCGUAAAUAGAGAAAGUUGAACAAGCCUAGAAAAGUGGGUAAAAAAUUGCAGAUCCAAUAAGAAGAUGACACGUGUAUGGAGCAUUAAAUGAGAAAGACAGAUGGGACGUUAAUACUGUUACACGCAUUAAUUGUGAAAAAAAAUUUCUUUUAUGAAGAUACACUUCCUAGAUAUUUAAUUGAUAAAUAAAUAAGAAGUGGGGGGACUAUCUGUAUUGGGAAAAAACUGAAUUAGAAUUAAAGAUGAUGUGGCAUGACACAUGGACUGGUCAAAUAGUCAAAGCGCAAUAAAACAUUAAAAGGCACGAAAGACAACAUGCAUAAGAGGAGAAAUGAAAAUAGACACGAGAGGUAGUCUCAGAUAUGCGUCUCGUAUCUAUUUUAGUCAUUUAAUACCAACGGAUAAAAAGGGCACUGAAGACAAGAAUAUGAUGACAAAAAGUAGUGUACGUUCAUUAUUAAAUACUUGAUAUGUUAGAUAAUCAGUAUUUAAUAGCAAUGAUUGUGUAACGUCUCAUUAAAUUCUCUUUAUUAUUUAGACUAAGCCGUUACUCCUUGACAGUUCUAUAAAAGGAGGAGGUUUCAUGAUUUGUAAACACACAGAACAUUCUCAACAUCAUAUUGAAAUACUAAAUUCUUAUUGAUUUAUUUUUAUUCUUUGAAAGCCUAUUUAUUUUGGUCUCUAGAUUAUCAGUAACUCGAUUUCUUUUCUCUAAAUUCAAGCUUUGACCAAAUUAUAUUUUAUUACACCUCCUUUUUCACUAUACCCGCAAGGGCGUAAAGGAGUUUUCCAAUUAAAGGACAAUCAGAACAGGAUUUGGUUAUUAAUUAUUCAGAGUUGUCACUUGGGAGAUUUAUGGUGUCUCAAGACACUGAUUUAAAUCCCGAACCGAGGAAGAUUAUGACGCUGUUAGAGUCUGCGAACCAGAAAUCCGAGUAAGGAAUUCUGUUAACUCGGGAGAAGGUGUUAGGCAUUCCCGGUCUCCGUGGUUCUAGCACGGUCGCUUAACUGAUACAUUUGAUUUUAUCUGAUUUUAAUACAUGCUCACGUAUGUGCCUUUAUUUAUAAACCGCUUUCCAUAAUUAUUUAUUUUAAAAGAAUUGCGAGUCAUGAAAACGCGUCUCCGACCACGCCGCCAUCAAGGCACCCGUGGUCGUCAACACAUUUCGACUUCGUCGAGAUUUGGAUUUGGGUCGCAUCAAUGCGCACCCGAGUUUAAGAAGUAACUUGAUUAAAACGCGCUUAAAGGUACUAACGUAAUAUUAUUUUGGGAAAGGCCGUUAAAAUUCCCUAAAUGGACCUUCCAAAUUCUAAUAGUUUUAAAUAACCACUUAUUGAGGGCCCCACAUUUAGUCUUGUUUAGUGAGGCUCGUUUGCAUUUUGAACCCCUUUUUAGAUCAUUAUUUGUUAAUAAGAAUACGACAUCAUGAAAACGCGUUUCUAAUCCCGUCUCCAUCAAGGCACCAAUGGUCGUCAACACAUUUCGACUUCGCCAAGAUUUGGAUUUGAGUUGCAUCAAUGCACACGCGAGUUUAAGUAGGUAUUUUAAUUAAAUGCGUCUAAUGAUUCUAGUGCGUUAUUAUUUCGGGGAAGGCCGUGAAAUUCGCUAAAACGACCCUCCCAUAUUCUAAAUUAAUUCUUAUAAUCAAUCAUCGAGGGCCCCACACUUAUUUUUGUUUGGCGAGGCUCGUCUUAAAUUAUUACUAACAAUUUAUAACUUAAGUAAACCAGACUACGAUAUUUCAUGAUUUGAUUAAAUACUUUCUAACGCUUGAGCGAAUUUGCAAAUCAAUUAUGGAAAAGGUGAAUAUUGGGUAAUAAUGAAUCUACAGGUUGGCCUAACUCCAUAUCAGGAAUUGAAUUCUUAUUUUUAUAAUGUCUAAAAGCUUAGCUGAUAAUAGUAGGCAUCUUACAAAAUAAAUCACCUAACAUGAACGAACAAAAUUAAACUUUGGAUGUAACCCAGAAGCACGUCGAAGCAAACAGUAGUAUACUAUAUCCCGUUAGAAUCCCAAAAUUGCCAUAUAAUAAUAACAUGCUCAAAACACCAAGUAUUUCAUCCAAAUAAUCUGAAUAUUUAGACUAUCAUGCAUAGGAUUACAAACACAAAUUAUUCACCAAAUCUAAUUUAUUUAGACAAGAGAAAUGGAAUGAAGUAACAGUAACCUUCUAACCUCGACAACCAACGGACAGAACCUCGACCAAUGACUUAACCAACGACGAACUCGAACGGACCUUCAACCGGAAGACCUCGAACCAAAACCUCGAUCCACGACCUUCGACGACGGGUAAAGGGUGGUCAGGUGGACUGACUGGCGGCGUUGGCGAGCCGGUUGAGGGCUAGCUGGAGGUUGUUUGGAUGAGAGAAAUGGCGGGUUACUGGACGUGAAGGAGCAGAAGUUUCUGGCCAAAUCCGUGCAAGUAGCGUUGUCAUUCGCCGGUGAUCACUUCCGGCGAAGCAACAGCUCGAGUGAGGAACUGGUGAACGCCGACAUUGGUGGUUGGCGUGAGAGAAGAGAUCUCCGUUUGGUUUCCGGGGUAGUGGGGUGCGACGUGGAUGUAGUAUCAGGGGGGGUGUCUGGUGUUGAGCUGUUGAAGGUUUUAAGAAAGAUAGGUCAUUUGGUGAUGAAGCAGAACAAUGAAGAAGGGGUCCAUUUUUGGUUUAACGGCGCUCUUUUUUUGAGUGUCUGUAUAUCCCAAAAA